CCUACGGGUGGCAGCAGUGGGGAAUAUUGCACAAUGGGCGCAAGCCUGAUGCAGCCAUGCCGCGUGUGUGAAGAAGGCCUUCGGGUUGUAAAGCACUUUCAGCGGGGAGGAAGGCGUUAAGGUUAAUAACCUUGUCGAUUGACGUUACCCGCAGAAGGAGCACCGGCUAACUCCGUGCCAGCAGCCGCGGUAAUACGGAGGGUGCAAGCGUUAAUCGGAAUUACUGGGCGUAAAGCGCACGCAGGCGGUCUGUCAAGUCGGAUGUGAAAUCCCCGGGCUCAACCUGGGAACUGCAUUCGAAACUGGCAGGCUAGAGUCUUGUAGAGGGGGGUAGAAUUCCAGGUGUAGCGGUGAAAUGCGUAGAGAUCUGGAGGAAUACCGGUGGCGAAGGCGGCCCCCUGGACAAAGACUGACGCUCAGGUGCGAAAGCGUGGGGAGCAAACAGGAUUAGAUACCCCGGUAGUC
Molecule: ribosomal RNA, 465 nt
Filed under: uncultured Klebsiella sp.
Lineage: Bacteria; Pseudomonadati; Pseudomonadota; Gammaproteobacteria; Enterobacterales; Enterobacteriaceae
Description: bacterial SSU rRNA
Rfam family: Bacterial small subunit ribosomal RNA
Source: RNAcentral